Molecule: ribosomal RNA, 383 nt
Filed under: uncultured eukaryote
Lineage: Eukaryota
Description: partial 18S ribosomal RNA
Rfam family: Eukaryotic small subunit ribosomal RNA
Source: RNAcentral
CAAUAGCGUAUAUUAAAGUUGUUGCAGUUAAAAAGCUCGUAGUUGGAUUUCUGGUGGGAGCGAUCGGUCUGGCGCUUAGCGCGAGUACUUGCAUCGUCUCCGGCCAUCCUUGGGGAGAGUCUGUCUGGCAUUAAGUUGUCGGGCAGAGGAUCCUCAUCGUUUACUGUGAAAAAAUUAGAGUGUUCAAAGCAGGCUUAUGCCGUUGAAUAUAUUAGCAUGGAAUGAUAAGAUAGGACUUUGGUACUAUUUUGUUGGUUUGCGCACCAAAGUAAUGAUUAAUAGGGACAGUUGGGGGUAUUCGUAUUCCGUUGUCAGAGGUGAAAUUCUUGGAUUUACGGAAGACGAACUACUGCGAAAGCAUUUACCAAGGAUGUUUUCAUUAA